RNAcentral lists this transfer RNA (79 nucleotides) under Leifsonia xyli subsp. xyli str. CTCB07. RNAcentral describes it as "tRNA-Gly". It matches the Rfam family "tRNA". From Rfam's summary of the family: Transfer RNA (tRNA) molecules are approximately 80 nucleotides in length. Their secondary structure includes four short double-helical elements and three loops (D, anti-codon, and T loops). Lineage: Bacteria; Bacillati; Actinomycetota; Actinomycetes; Micrococcales; Microbacteriaceae. The record is from RNAcentral.
GCGGAUGUAGCGCAGUUGGUAGCGCAUCACCUUGCCAAGGUGAGGGUCGCGAGUUCGAGUCUCGUCAUCCGCUCGAGUC